This 429-nucleotide ribosomal RNA is filed under the name uncultured bacterium. RNAcentral describes it as "bacterial SSU rRNA". It matches the Rfam family "Bacterial small subunit ribosomal RNA", at positions 30 to 448 of the family's 1533-position model. The record is from RNAcentral.
AUUGAACGCUGGCGGCAGGCCUAACACAUGCAAGUCGAGCGGAAACGAGUUAACUGAACCUUCGGGGAACGUUAAGGGCGGCGAGCGGCGGACGGGUGAGUAAUGCCUGGGAAUAUGCCCUGAUGUGGGGGAUAACUAUUGGAAACGAUAGCUAAUACCGCAUAAUCUCUUCGGAGCAAAGAGGGGGACCUUCGGGCCUCUCGCGUCAGGAUUAGCCCAGGUGGGAUUAGCUUGUUGGUGAGGUAAUGGCUCACCAAGGCAACGAUCCCUAGCUGGUCUGAGAGGAUGAUCAGCCACACUGGAACUGAGACACGGUCCAGACUCCUACGGGAGGCAGCAGUGGGGAAUAUUGCACAAUGGGGAACCUGAUGCAGCCAUGCCGCGUGUGUGAAGAAGGCCUUGGGUUGUAAGCACUUUCAGUCGUGAGGA